This 55-nucleotide non-coding RNA is filed under the name unclassified sequences. The record is from RNAcentral.
UGUGAUGGAUGCGGUCUAUGACCGCAGUAAACAACAAUCCAGGUCCAAAGUCCUG